Molecule: long non-coding RNA, 1245 nt
Organism: Bos taurus (domestic cattle)
Lineage: Eukaryota; Metazoa; Chordata; Mammalia; Artiodactyla; Bovidae
Source: Ensembl
GAGGAUGAGAUCUCAGAGUAGCAAGUCUUCACUCUCCCUCUCUGUUGGGCUACAGGGGGAAACGCGUGUGAUCUUUCUGGUGUAAUGGAGACAUGACAUUAAGUGCCAGGACUUCAUCUGUCUUGCCAUCCCCAUAUUUUGCCAGUUCUGCAACCGGAACUCCAGGCUCUGUGGCCCAAGAAGCAUUAUUAGAUGGAAGUGUGCCAUCUCCCCACCCCGGCUCCCAGUGCUGUCUUUGUGGCCAGUGAAGUAAAUGCAUCUUGUGCCUCUUAAGAAAUGUGGGACAGGAGGUCGGGUGGAGCCCUGCCAGCGUGACAGUGGAGCCUUUGCCCUCUGAUGGGAAUGAAGCAGCAAGCCGCCAAGCCACACAACGGAAGCCUGAAAUGAGAUGACUUGGGCAAUUUGCACAAGAGUUUCCUACUUUAAAUAAUUAGAGUCACUAUCCCUGGGGGCAUUUGCUUAUUGGCUGCCUUAACAGUCUUCUUCUUUUUUUUUUUUUAAAGCAAGUCUCUUAAAGAUACUGCUCUUGAUCUUACACGCACUUGCCAAGACUUGUCUUAUUCUUAUAGUACUGAUGUUCUACUGUUCAAAAGUUAGGAAGGAGCUGAUUCUGAGCUGGAAACAAGGGCAGCAGAAGAUAGAGAUAGUAGGCUCAUUUUGUGCAUGAGUCCCAGAGAGAGAGAGUGCCAGCCAUUGCAGGAGGUGGGUUUGAGGGGUUGGAUGUGCAAAAUGAGGUCUAGCUGGCAGCCCCUGGGCAAUCUGCUGACGGUGGGUUGGAAAUGGCAACUGUUGAAAAACACCGCAAACUGAGGUUGUUUCUCAUCUGAAACAUGGCGUCUGCCCUGACUGUAAAUGAUCCCCACAGGGAACUAGGCAAGGGUGUGCUGGUAAACUGGCUCUUUGGAAAGAAAAAAAAGGAGGGUUGGUUUGUAACCUUAGUACAUACUCUGACUCUGGCACAUUUCCAGCUACCACGGUUAACCUGCCUGCCAAAAUCCCGAAUGUUUAACACUCCUCCCUCUGGAACUGGUACCAGAAGCUCCAGCCCGCCACUGGCUAAGAAACAAAUUUCUACUUGCCACUCGCAGGCCAGCUGUGGGUCCACAUGCAAUACUCCCCGCUGCCCCAAAUUAAAAAAAAAAAAAAAGAUUGGUUUCAGUUUUGCCACUUAUUACAUGUGUGCUUCUUGGCAAGGCUUUACUUUUUCCAAACAUAGCUCUCUCCUUUGAAAAACAAGAGUUCAGA